Molecule: ribosomal RNA, 446 nt
Filed under: uncultured bacterium
Lineage: Bacteria
Description: partial 16S ribosomal RNA
Rfam family: Bacterial small subunit ribosomal RNA
Source: RNAcentral
AGCGAACGCUGGCGGCAGGCUUAACACAUGCAAGUCGAGCGCCCCGCAAGGGAAGCGGCAGACGGGUGAGUAACACGUGGGAACGUACCUUUUGGUUCGGAACAACCCAGGGAAACUUGGGCUAAUACCGGAUAAGCCCUUACGGGGAAAGAUUUAUCGCCAAAAGAUCGGCCCGCGUCUGAUUAGCUAGUUGGUGGGGUAAUGGCCCACCAAGGCUACGAUCAGUAGCUGGUCUGAGAGGAUGAUCAGCCACAUUGGGACUGAGACACCGCCCAAACUCCUACGGGAGGCAGCAGUGGGGAAUAUUGGACAAUGGGGGAAACCCUGAUCCAGCCAUGCCGCGUGAGUGAUGAAGGCCUUAGGGUUGUAAAGCUCUUUUAGCAGGGAAGAUAAUGACGGUACCUGCAGAAAAGCCCCGGCUAACUUCGUGCCAGCCGCCGCGGUAA